CACGUAGGGGGCGAGCGUUGUCCGGAUUCAUUGGGCGUAAAGCGCGCGCAGGCGGCUUGGAAAGUCGGAUGUGAAAACUCGGGGCUCAACCCCGGGCGUGCAUCCGAUACUGCCAGGCUUGAGGCAGGUAGGGGAGAUCGGAAUUCCUGGUGUAGCGGUGAAAUGCGCAGAUAUCAGGAGGAACACCGGUGGCGAAGGCGCCACUCUGGGCCGAAACUGACGCUGAGGAGCGAAAGCGUGGGUAGCAAACAGG
This 253-nucleotide ribosomal RNA is filed under the name uncultured bacterium. Its description in RNAcentral is "partial 16S ribosomal RNA". It matches the Rfam family "Bacterial small subunit ribosomal RNA", at positions 524 to 776 of the family's 1533-position model. The record is from RNAcentral.